This 1552-nucleotide long non-coding RNA is filed under the name Manduca sexta (tobacco hornworm). RNAcentral describes it as "uncharacterized LOC119192660". Lineage: Eukaryota; Metazoa; Arthropoda; Insecta; Lepidoptera; Sphingidae. The record is from RNAcentral.
CAUCGUAAUGCUAUGUUUGUUGAUAACUGCAAUCAUAUGCACAUAUGGUAAUAACAACACGUUCAUAAAAACAUCUCAUUCUUUUGCGGCGAAGGUAAUGAAAAUAUUCUGCAUUAAGACCAACUAUGCAACAUUAUUCCACGUGCAAAGCUCAGAGAUAUCAGCCAUGAAUGGCAUAAGGUUCCUGUCAGCCGUUUUUGUGAUCUGGGCGCAUGUAUACAUGUUUACUAAUAUUGCUGGAUUAUCCAACUCGUUGGAUAUGGAUAAGGAUGCAGGAACACUGACUGGAAUAUUCCUUCACCACAUGGAUUUACUUGUGGAUACCUUCUUCGCCUUCUCUGGUCUUCUUCUUGUUAACAGUCUGCUCUCUGCCAAACCGGGAAAUCACAGAACUUAGUAAAGAUGCUCUGCAAGCGAUACUUUAGGUUAAUAGGAACUUUGGCUGUGGCUAUUUCCUUCAUGACUGUUAUAUCAGGGAUAUGGACCACGGCCCAUUAUGGCGCAGAUUCGCUGUAUCCGAACAGGAUAUAUGCGUGAAGAAUUGGUGGAGAUGUUUGUUGAUGCUAAAUACCAGUGCCAAGGAAAUGUGCUUAAUUGUCGCCUGGUACAUCUCUUGUGACUUCCAUCUGACCGCCGCCUGCUCAUUCAUAAUAUACGUCUACAGGAAGAACAAGAAAAACGGUCUUCGUGUCUACGGAAUCGCUUGCCUACUGGCCAUUCUGAUACCAGGAUUUUUAACUUAUUGGUAUAAGUUGCAACCUGUCAUCUUAUUUACUAUACAGGACUUCGUUAUUUUGAGGAUGGUUGCAAGUUUGGAUUACGUUUACGUCAAAACAUAUAGUAGAGGAGGACCUUAUGUGGUGGGAAUGGCAGCAGGAUACCUCAUAACAAAAUUCAAUCGGGAAAAAUAUAAAAAGUUAUACCAAAGAUUUGGUCAUUUUCUGCAGUUGUGUUAGCAGUAUCAUUAAUGCUAUUAACAAUGAGUGUGGGAACAAUAUUUUAUGACAGAGAAUACAGCGCCUUAGAAGUAUCUAUUUCUGUCGCUCUAGACAGAGUAGUGUGGGCUUUUGCUGUAUGCAGUAUAGUUGGAGUUUGCAUAUAUGGCGACCUGCCGAUUAUCAAUGACUUUCUGAGUUGGUCGUUGUUCCGGCCCUCGGGAGGUUAUCCUAUGGGAUCUACUUGCUUCAUGCCAUGUUCCUGGAACGGAUAAUAUUUUCUACCAGAGCCCCGUUGAAGUACGAUCAUCUGGAAUUUUUCAUAAUCACUUGCGGCGCGACCGUAGUGACUUGCAUGGCCAGUCUGUUCGUCUGGUUAGUGGUGGAAGCGCCGCUUACCAAUAUCUGCGAUGCUAUUAUGUCAGAUAAGAAAUCACCACAAAAGGAAAACGAAAUGACUAACGAAGCUACUCAAAAUGGUCAAAAAAAAGUAUUAUAAAUGUUUUUUAAAUGUAAUAUUUAUUUUAAAUGAUGUUUACUUUAACCAAAACCCCAGGUUUCGGAGCGACAUACUCGUGAAAUAACAACCAAGCUAUUUAAAUAAAGAUUAAAACAAA